Long non-coding RNA from Melanotaenia boesemani (Boeseman's rainbowfish), 105 nucleotides. RefSeq lists it as uncharacterized. The transcript has 3 exons. NCBI's taxonomy places the organism in Eukaryota, Metazoa, Chordata, Actinopteri, Atheriniformes, Melanotaeniidae. The record is from RefSeq and is a predicted model, not a curated record.
UCCAUUGAUGUCAUGUGGAUACCUCCAAAACAACCUGGAUUCAUGACUAGCUAACAAGCAGACCACAGUUUGUGAGACUGAAAGGUUGUGUGUCUGAGAUGGUGG